GACGAGGGGUCCAAGCGUUGUUCGGAAUCACUGGGCGUAAAGCGCAUGUAGGUGGCUAAAUAAGUCUGUUGUGAAAGCCCUGGGCUCAACCCAGGAAGUGCAGCAGAUACUGCUUAGCUUGAGUAUGGGAGAGGGUAGUAGAAUUCCAGGUGUAGUGGUGAAAUACGUAGAUAUCUGGAGGAAUACCUGUGGCGAAGGCGGCUACCUGGCCCAAUACUGACACUGAGAUGCGAAAGCGUGGGGAUCAAACAGG
RNAcentral lists this ribosomal RNA (253 nucleotides) under uncultured bacterium. Its description in RNAcentral is "partial 16S ribosomal RNA". It matches the Rfam family "Bacterial small subunit ribosomal RNA", at positions 524 to 776 of the family's 1533-position model. The record is from RNAcentral.